CUACGUGCCAGCAGCCGCGGUAAUACGUAGGUGGCGAGCGUUAUCCGGAAUUAUUGGGCGUAAAGGGUGCGUAGGCGGCCUGUUAAGUAAGUGGUUAAAUUGUUGGGCUCAACCCAAUCCAGCCACUUAAACUGGCAGGCUAGAGUAUUGGAGAGGCAAGUGGAAUUCCAUGUGUAGCGGUAAAAUGCGUAGAUAUAUGGAGGAACACCAGUGGCGAAGGCGGCUUGCUAGCCAAAGACUGACGCUCAUGCACGAAAGCGUGGGGAGCAAAUAGGAUUAGAUACCCUAGUAGUCCACGCCGUAAACGAUGAAUACUAAGUAUUGGGGAAACUCAGUGCUGCAGCUAACGCAAUAAGUAUUCCGCCUGUGGAGUAUGCACGCAAGUGUGAAACAUAAAGGAAUUGACGGGGGCCCGCACAAGCGGUGGAGUAUGUGGUUUAAUUCGACGCAACGCGAAGAACCUUACCAGGCCUUGACAUCCCUCUGACCGCUCUAGAGAUAGAGUUUUCUUCGGGACAGAGG
This 522-nucleotide ribosomal RNA is filed under the name uncultured bacterium. RNAcentral's name for it is "bacterial SSU rRNA". It matches the Rfam family "Bacterial small subunit ribosomal RNA", at positions 501 to 1032 of the family's 1533-position model. The record is from RNAcentral.